Molecule: ribosomal RNA, 303 nt
Filed under: Triticum aestivum (bread wheat)
Lineage: Eukaryota; Viridiplantae; Streptophyta; Magnoliopsida; Poales; Poaceae
Description: partial small subunit ribosomal RNA
Source: RNAcentral
AUGAUUUUGUGCAAAAAUGUCCCUUCGCUCCCCACUAAUCUGCUUCAGGUCCUUCUUCUUCAAACGACUGAUCUCCGUAUAGCUCUCCUGUUUCCCUAUUGCUCGUCGACAGUGGCGGCUGCACAGAUCUGGUGCUUACCUGGUGGACGACGACUACUCCCUGGGCAGUUGCUCCCUGCCUCCUCCCCCUCCCACUCCGGCUUCCAGGUCUCUUGGCUCCAUCUACUGCGCAUCCCGACGACGCGUUGCACAUCCUCGUCAGGGACCGGGCCGCCGCCGCCACGGUCUCCUCCACCCCGAUGA